This 110-nucleotide ribosomal RNA is filed under the name Doronicum dolichotrichum. RNAcentral describes it as "partial 5.8S ribosomal RNA". It matches the Rfam family "5.8S ribosomal RNA", at positions 50 to 154 of the family's 154-position model. From Rfam's summary of the family: 5.8S ribosomal RNA (5.8S rRNA) is a component of the large subunit of the eukaryotic ribosome. It is transcribed by RNA polymerase I as part of the 45S precursor that also contains 18S and 28S rRNA. Lineage: Eukaryota; Viridiplantae; Streptophyta; Magnoliopsida; Asterales; Asteraceae. The record is from RNAcentral.
AAAAUGCGAUACUUGGUGUGAAUUGCAGAAUCCCGUGAACCAUCGAGUUUUUGAACGCAAGUUGCGCCCGAAACCAUUCGGUCGAGGGCACGUCUGCCUGGGCGUCACGU